ACAGAUCUUCAGAGUUUGAUCCUGGCUCAGGAUUAACGCUGGCGGCGUGCAUAACACAUUCAAGUCGAACGGAGUAAACUACUUCGGUGGUUUACUUAGUGGCGGACGGGUGAGUAACGCGUGAGCAAUCUACCUCUGGGUACGGAAUAACAACCGGAAACAGUUGCUAAUACCGUAUGAAAUAGCAGUACCGCAUGGUACAACUAUCAAAGAUUUAUUGCCAAGAGAUGAGCUUGCGUCCGAUUAGAUAGUUGGUGGGGUAACGGCCUACCAAGUCGACGAUCGGUAGCCGGACUGAGAGGUUGAACGGCCACAUUGGAACUGAGAUACGGUCCAG
RNAcentral lists this ribosomal RNA (337 nucleotides) under uncultured bacterium. RNAcentral's name for it is "bacterial SSU rRNA". It matches the Rfam family "Bacterial small subunit ribosomal RNA", at positions 1 to 334 of the family's 1533-position model. The record is from RNAcentral.